UCCCUACAGCCAGAAUGUUCUUUCUUAAAAGCAAAAUUGAUCUUGUCACUGCUAUGCCUAGAAAUGUUAAGAGACUCCUCAUUACACCCAGGAUAAAACAUAAUUCCUUCUUUUGUUCACCUGGGUGCUCCCUGCAGUCCAACCACAGUGGACAAGUCCUCAAGUGGUGCCCAUACUGGACUUUGUGCCUUUUACAAUCUGUUCACUCUGCUUGAAUGCCUUUCCUCUUCCUUUCCUGGCCGAAUUUGGUUUAUGUGGCAUCCUCAUUAGGCUAUUUGUUCAGACAUCUUCUUCUCUUGGAGCCUUUUCUCACCAUUCCCCUUCAUCCCUUCAUGUUCUCACAAUCCCAUUCACAUCUCUGUUGCAUUGCCCCAGACCUGCUGCUGUGUUUGAUUUUGUCAGUAAGUGCUUGUUGAAUGACUGAAUAAAUGGUGGUGGGGGGGUCUCCUCCCUCAGGAUCCUACUCCCUUCUGUCUGUGCCCACAGUGUCUCCCCUCCUACCUGCUCCCUCCCCUUGCUCCUCUGCUCCAGGUUUUCUCCAAUGAGGGCCAGUUCAAGUUCCGUUUUGGGGUCCGAGGACGCUCACCUGGGCAGCUGCAGCGCCCCACAGGUGUGGCAGUGGACACCAAUGGAGACAUAAUUGUGGCAGACUAUGACAACCGUUGGGUCAGCAUCUUCUCCCCUGAGGGCAAGUUCAAGACCAAGAUUGGAGCUGGCCGCCUCAUGGGCCCCAAGGGAGUGGCCGUAGACCGGAAUGGACAUAUCAUUGUGGUCGACAACAAGUCUUGCUGCGUCUUUACCUUCCAGCCCAAUGGCAAACUGGUUGGCCGUUUUGGGGGCCGUGGGGCCACUGACCGCCACUUUGCAGGGCCCCAUUUUGUGGCUGUGAACAACAAGAAUGAGAUUGUAGUAACGGACUUCCAUAACCAUUCAGUGAAGGUGUACAGUGCCGAUGGAGAGUUCCUCUUCAAGUUUGGCUCCCAUGGCGAGGGCAAUGGGCAGUUCAAUGCCCCCACAGGAGUAGCUGUGGACUCCAAUGGAAACAUCAUUGUGGCUGACUGGGGCAACAGCCGCAUCCAGGUAUUCGACAGCUCUGGCUCCUUCCUGUCCUAUAUCAACACAUCUGCAGAACCACUGUAUGGUCCACAGGGCCUGGCACUGACCUCGGAUGGCCAUGUGGUGGUGGCUGAUGCUGGCAACCACUGCUUUAAAGCCUAUCGCUACCUCCAGUAGCUGUACAGAGGCCCUGCCUGGCUUGUGGAGGGACAGACAUUGGGGUGAUUGGACAAGAGGGUCUGGCUGGGAGGUGGGCCAGACCUGGCAGCACUGAAUGUGGGCUGUGGGCAUGGGUGCGCCCGGUGCCCUCCCUCUCCUACCCCCACCCCCACGGUUGCACUUUAUUUAUUCGGUUCUUGCUUUGGUGACUGGGUGAGCCUGGACUGUGGUCCCAAGGAUGUGUGCAGAGCUUCACCCUACUCUUCUUACACACCUCCCCACCCCUGUCAGUCUGCUCCCCAUCCCCCAGCCUGGGGCCAGAACAGCCUACCCCAGGACAGGAGUCCCUCUAGUUGUCUCCCUACCACCCUAUACACACUGACAGAGACAGCAAUACCCCACCCCCCAUAUUAAAUAAAUGUCUUCACCAAG
This 1647-nucleotide small RNA is filed under the name Pan troglodytes (chimpanzee). RNAcentral describes it as "retained intron". Lineage: Eukaryota; Metazoa; Chordata; Mammalia; Primates; Hominidae. The record is from RNAcentral.